Molecule: ribosomal RNA, 497 nt
Filed under: uncultured bacterium
Lineage: Bacteria
Description: partial 16S ribosomal RNA
Rfam family: Bacterial small subunit ribosomal RNA
Source: RNAcentral
GAUGAACGCUGGCGGCGUGCCUAAUACAUGCAAGUCGAGCGAACGGACGAGAAGCUUGCUUCUCUGAUGUUAGCGGCGGACGGGUGAGUAACACGUGGAUAACCUACCUAUAAGACUGGGAUAACUUCGGGAAACCGGAGCUAAUACCGGAUGAUAUUUUGAACCGCAUGGUUCAAAAGUGAAAGACGGUCUUGCUGUCACUUAUAGAUGGAUCCGCGCUGCAUUAGCUAGUUGGUAAGGUAACGGCUUACCAAGGCAACGAUGCAUAGCCGACCUGAGAGGGUGAUCGGCCACACUGGAACUGAGACACGGUCCAGACUCCUACGGGAGGCAGCAGUAGGGGAUCUUCCGCAAUGGGCGAAAGCCUGACGGAGCAACGCCGCGUGAGUGAUGAAGGUCUUCGGAUCGUAAAACUCUGUUAUUAGGGAAGAACAUAUGUGUAAGUAACUGUGCACAUCUUGACGGUACCUAAUCAGAAAGCCCCGGCUAACUACGUG